AUGCUGAGUAUGUAUGUUUUGUGAACAAACAUAUUAUUGUAGCCGUUGGUGUUUAUUCAAGCAUCUGAACUUUUGAAACAUAGGAUAACUUCAUAAUAGGCCCAUAGCUGGUGAGGACUCCAAAAGCCUUAUUUCCUCACUAGUCACCCAGCUUCUGGCAGAUAGAGGAAUACCUCAGGGUAAUUCCCUGCAUGCAACAGUUCCAGCGAGUUAAUAUAUCUCGCAAUUCUAAUGUCAUCAUGCCUACGCUACUUGACACUACCAAUCUAUUUACUGCGAAGGGUGAAGGGAGGAUGGAAAAAAUGAAAGAACUGACAGCAAGCAACUGGUGCUCGACUCGGACUGGAAUAGAAACGUUGCACUUUGCGAAUGUAUUGCGCACAGCUUGGGGGCGAAUCAGCGGGAACUGGGUCAUGAGGGCAUUGAGGCACAGGCACACGAUUAUGCUCCCAGCGGGAGUGCUGUCGUUCUCCUCGGCGACCAGAGCGGCCCCACUGCAGCACGAGCAAGAUAGAGUGUAGCUACCAUUGCUGCUGGAGAAGGGUAUGAGGCACGGAAUUAGCGGCGGCUGGACGACAUCACAGGCAUUGACGGCACCAACUGUCAUCGGAUGCUCCGAAGAGGAGAAAGAGAAGGGAGAGGGAGAGCAGGGAGUUAGAAGAAGUUGAAGCCAUUUUGAGGUAGGCUGUAUUUUGGGAUGGCUUAGGUUUGGGGACGUGGUGGUGCUUAAAUAAGAAGGCAUAUAUGCAUGCAGAUAGAGAGAGGAGAGAGAUUUGAUUGACAGCAGUCAGGCGUAUAUUGGUCGGUAUGAUGGGCACAGCAGCAAACCCAGGAUAAUGAGGCUGGCGGGGGGCACGGUGAUGAAACUGGUGCCUGCCCAAGGUUUCAACUUUCAAUAAUGCCGACCUGCCAAAUGUUAAAAGCGAGAGAAGAAUUCGAUUAGUAUAUGCUUUAGCCGUGUAAAAGGAAUAUCCGUAAUAACCUUCUCUCUUACUGUACUAGAUUUCAGUUGCUUCGGAGUGGCAUAAAAAUUGGCUUUUUUCCCAUUACAAUGACGGAACUCACAUGCUACAUUAAGGGCCACAGCUCAAAUAUGUCAUGUAGGGUGUACUUCGAGUAGCCUAUUUGAGCCAACAUUUUUUGUGUUAUCGAACUAAUGUUUCACCUAGAGAUAGAUGAGUUCUAAUACAUACAAGUCUGUCUAAAACAUGAAAGAGCACACGAUACUCUUCAAAAGCUCUGUUGGUUAGGACAAUAAAAGGCAUUAUAAACUAGUGCCUGUUAGAUCCAUCGUCAUCCGUAAGAUCAAAAAUAUCAAAACACUCUGUUUACUAUAUUUUUUUAAAUGCUAAAGUCUUUUUUGACAGAUAUGGGAAAAAGCACUUUCUUGACAGGGCACAUGAAGUUUUCAGGGGGUGGGUUGUCACAGCAGAAAAACAUUUAAUCCAUAAUAGAUUUGGGGACGCCAUUAAUCCCUCUUGAAAUUUUUUGAAUGAAUCCCUCUAGAAAUCCACACAAGCCUAUGAACAAGUUGCAAUGCUGCAGAGUAGGGAGGUCGAUUAAUUUGUUCCUCGAGCGGUACUUAUUUUGACAACCAUGGAGUCAAAAUCUUAUGAAAAACUUUAUGUUUUGCAGUAGAUUUUUUGUUUUUAACUCAUUUUGCAAUUACACCCACUGUUACAACUUCUCCAACAAGAACAUUUUCAAUUUAAUCUGGGUUCCAGCCUUUGAGGUUGAGUCAAGAGUCCCUUGGCAAGCAGUAAUCAGAAGCAUAAUUACUGCAUGAAAAUAGACAGUUUUGAUGUACUGCUUGCAACCAUAAACUCCAGAAUCUGAUCCUGUUAGUUACUCAGCCAUAGCAUGUUAUGACUUUCAUAUUCAAUUUUGAUGAUGUAUUUAAAGGAGUAUGAUGUUUUCCUUCACUUCCCCCAAAAAUGAAUUUUAAAAUCAAAUCCAAUUCUAAGAUUAUUUUUAUCAUAUUAACAGAAGGGAUGAGACCUAAAACAUUUGAAAUCGAUUUUAAAUCCACCAUCGGAUACAAGAAACAGGGAAAGAAAAACACUUCUGCUGAAACACCAAUUCGCAUGAGGCAAUCAAACACUUUUUGUUCAUUAGAGGCUGCAAAUUUACCGAAGAACUAGACUAUAUAGACUGCUAUUGUAAUGUGAAAUUGCAAGUACAGAGAAUGGAUCGACCAGUCAUUACUAUACAUGGCUUAAUGGAGAUUUGAGGAGCAUAUAGGAAAAUUUUCCAAGAAGUUGACAAAAUAAUUAAAAUUACACUGACCAGAUAUUAUGUAUACGCAGGAAACCAUCAAAAGAAUCCAAUGAUCAGCUAGGUGGCAAGGAGUCAGGAUCUUCAACAUGCAGUUAAAGCAUGCAGCAGAAAGUGAGAACUUCACUUUUAUAUCAGAAACUUCUAUGCCUCUUAAUACACAAAUGGUCAAGCCAUGUGCUCUCUCACAAAGUUUAGUGUCCUUUUCUUCAAUAAAAUGUGCUUUUUUUCUUGAGAAAAAGAUUAGGUCAGAAGAUCAAACCAGAGACUGAAAUUCACAACUCGGAACCAUGCCCUAACGCAGGUAAAAGGGGGAAAAAAAACUCAAGGACAUCAGUCACGUGCAAGUGGAUCUGCCUCAACAGGAAAGGAUAAAGCUCGAGGAAGUCUCUAUAUAUAAAUUAACUGGAUCCAGAACUCACAAUUCAAGAGGUAAUAUAGACAACUAUUCCAUCCUUAAACUCAUUGGCCUCUUGCCUUCCUCAGCUUGACUUACAGAUGGCGCUACAAGAUGAAAAUCUCCAUAUUUCUUUCUUACAUUUCUGUUAUGCACAGCUUUUAACGCUACUGUAUUUAUUAGAUGCAGUCUGGUCGGUUUACCGUUGUGGCAAGUUAGACUGGUUGUGGCUAUACAGCAUCAUCCUUCAUACAUCUAAUAGGUGUGGUCUUAAUGUUUUAUUCUACAUUUAUGAUAACCAUGAGGAUCCACCAAAACUAUGCAUGCAAGGCUUUAACCUCAUUAAUAGAUGAUAAACUUCAAUGUCAUUCGAGUAACCCUAGACCUAAUCAAAAAUCAAAAGCCAUGGACAUCAAGCUGGCUACCAGAGUUUCAUGUACGACAAAACCACUUUGCAGUCCUUUUUUUUGGCAUCUGAAGGUAUUCGUUACCUGCAAAGGGAUUUCAUUUAAGACAACCCUACAGACAUAGUUUCAGCACUCAAAUCAUCACCUGCCAUUGUGAAUGACACCAUUUUGAUGAUUUUUCUCCUUCUGUUGACAAAACAUGAAUCUUAUAUUACAUUUACAAUAAUCCUACAAGGAUUUUUUUAAACCUCCUCAAGGAUUUAUUCUCCAACUAAGGAAAAAUACCUACAAGGCUUUCCUUAAAGCCCCUCAAGGAGUAACUGUCUACCUAAGUCAGUCAGGCAUCCAUUUGAUGACUAAUUUUAAUUUAGCGGAGACUCUUGAUAUAUUAGUUUCAUUGGUCAACCACUUGUCAGCUGCAAUUUUUCUGGUUCCCAUCAAAUGUUUAUUUAGGUGAUCCAUAUUCCUUUUUCUAAUCUCUAUUCCGAUCCAUUUAGAAUUGUUUUCUUUGUGUUAGAACAUUUAGUCAAAGUUUCAUCUCAGUUGACAUCUCUCCCAAGUUCUCAGUUUUUAUCAUUAUCAAGCAACCCCAAAUAUGAUAUCUCUGAAAUUCUCAGUUCUAUUAUUUGAGCUGAUAUAAAACCAGGUAUAUCAGUCAAUACAAUUUUAUUCCUACCAAUCGAUAUUUUUUCAAGUAGUUUUUUUUUUAAUAAUAUUUCUUAAUUAAUAAAUCUUGAAAUUAAUGUAUGAAUAUAGUUGAUAAUCUCAGAUUAACUAUAUCAGCUGAAAUAUUCAUCCUAAAAUAUCUGCCAUGAUCUCAGAAAAUCUUGGCUCCCUCCAAUUUUUCCCACGUACCAUAUCAACUGAGAUACACUAACUCUUGGUUCACCACAGUUCCAAUCACUCGCUGAGAUAACUCAUAUGUUAGGAUUUAAAACCUUUUAUUUACUGUAUUUUGGGUACCUGAUUCAUCUUAAGUGUUGUUUUAGAAAUUCCAUCACUGGAGGUAAUUUGUGUUAAAUGUCCUAUUCCUAGACUUCAUUUACUCGAGAAUAUUUCCUAAACUUGAUUAUCCUAGUGAUUACCCAAGCCAUCUUAAGUGUUGCUCUCAUUUUUAAGAUCCAAUAAACCCUUCCUGCUUCCUUGGCAUAUGUUUCAUUAAUACAGUUCUGCUCCUAUCUAUUGUUGCCUUUGGCAUGAGACACAUCUGGAUAUCCAUAAAGGCCAUUGCUGGAAUUGAUGAAAAGUUUUCUGAUCUAUAUGGUCCAUUUCAGCCAACUUUCACAUGAUGUUUUUCAAUUUUAUAUUUCUGCAUGGAAAGCAGGAAAAAAAUGACUUCUGGCUACGAAGUGAAGCUUGACACCAUAUAUUCACAUACUCACCAAGUGAAACAUUAGAACAUAUAUUACCCUGGUAAGCAACCAAAAGGUGAUGGUAAGGCUUUUGAGCGAUCCCCUGGGUUCAAUUUGGUUGCAGUGGCAAAUAGACGGCACUUUCCAUCAGUAUUUUGUGGUCAAACUGAAGAAAAACUAUAAGCAAUUCAACCUAGGUAUGGCGACUCUCAAGAAAAAUUCUGGAUAGAACUCUACAAACAGGAUUUCAAUAGAAGAGGACCACUAGUGACAAUUCCAAAUCAUUUUAUCAUGGCUUUUCCCAUGAUGAUUUGUAUAUUUUUCUUUUUCUGGCAUGCGCCAAGAUUCAAUGGUUCUAUUCUAUUAAUUCUCACGGUUCCUCUUCAAACAGAUAAAUCAAGGAAAUAAAAUAAAAAAGAACCCCAGGCUCAGAUCAAAUAAGCCCUUCCACUCGGGGUACUUUCAAUCAAAGACUCAUAAUUGACCCCGAUUCACCAAUAUUUGCCAAGACUCCUAAUACUGUAAAACGUCUCUAAACUUCGAUCUGAUAAGAGCACCAUCAACUUCCAUUGCGUCCAGCAAAUGAUAGAGCAAAACACGAGAUUUAGAAGUCAAAGUACACACAUAUCCGAGGUAAAGAAAAGUAGAUCACAGAGAGAUAGAUGAAUUAUGUAUCGCAAAACAAGUAGUACAAGUGAAUCGGAGGAUAUGAAAAGGAAUUUAAGGGGAAGGCGUUCAAAUCAAGCGGACUGGUUCGCAAGAAAAGACCUGGUGGGGAAGCCGCCAGGCCUCGGCGGAUCCGAAGCACAUGUCGUCGAGGGCGUCGCUGCGGCACCACCGGCAGCGCCUGGAGCUCCGCUGGCACUCGCUCCUCGACGCCAGCUCCCGGCACUCGAGGAUCGCCCCAGAGAUGCUCUCGUUCUUGGCCGUGGCGACGUGGAGGAGCAGCGCGAGAAGAAGGAGCAAAAGCACAGGCCAAGACCUGGCCAUUAUCGGGGGAAAAGUGGGUGCUGGGUCAGCGGGCGGCCCGUCGAGCGGCGGCAGCUAUUUUGGCCAUCUCGCAUCCUUCCUGGGGGUAUAUGUUCGAAACCCGAUCGUUCCGGUGGGAUGUAGCAGACCAGCUUUGGGAUCAUCCACACUUAUUGUCCGAAACCGGC
This 5587-nucleotide long non-coding RNA is filed under the name Elaeis guineensis (African oil palm). RNAcentral describes it as "long non-coding RNA (EGUI_LNC071874)". Lineage: Eukaryota; Viridiplantae; Streptophyta; Magnoliopsida; Arecales; Arecaceae. The record is from RNAcentral.